This is a small nuclear RNA of Talpa occidentalis (Iberian mole), 106 nucleotides long. Lineage: Eukaryota; Metazoa; Chordata; Mammalia; Eulipotyphla; Talpidae. The record is from RefSeq and is a predicted model, not a curated record.
GUGCUUGCCCAGCAGCACACACACUAAAAUUGGAAUGAUGCAGAGAAGAUUAGCAUGACCCCUGCGCCAGGAUGAUAUGCAAAUUCGUGAAGCGUUCCAUAUUUUU